Gorilla gorilla gorilla (western lowland gorilla) is the source of this 4330-nucleotide RNA transcript. It is a transcript of the gene named basic proline-rich protein-like, with no coding region annotated. The record is from RefSeq and is a predicted model, not a curated record. NCBI's taxonomy places the organism in Eukaryota, Metazoa, Chordata, Mammalia, Primates, Hominidae. The transcript is spliced from 2 exons.
AGGAAGAAAGGAAGGAAGGAAGGAAGGAAGGACGGACCAGCCUGUUAGGCUGACUGACAGAGUACCCCCAGUCCUCCAGUGCUGCCCACGGCAGGCAUGUGGCAGUGGCUGACAGGGAGUGAGUCUGGAAGUGACCCUUGUCGGGACAGCCUCCUUGAUCCUGUGAUUCAGGACAGGGUGAAAGUCAGUGGCAGCCAUUGGUGCCUCUGGCCGGGGUUCCUCACAGGGGCCGGCAAGGGGUCAGCGAAUGGAGCGUGGAGGGUGGAGGGCUCCUUCUCCGGACCGGAGUGAUGGGUUCGGGAGCCAUUCUGUGUCUGUCUUUGCUGCUGGGCUGAGGAGCUGGAUGGCAUGCUGGGAGUAGUGGGAGCUGCUGAGGAGAUUGGUCCUGGAGGGCAGAGGCUGAAUGUGCAUGUCUGGAGUCACCGUGGAGGGCACAGCUAGAGGGAGCAGCAGGGUGUCCCAGGGAGAAGACACCAGGGCUGGAAUUAGAGGGACAUCAAGGCUGAUACUUGGAGGCAUCCAAUAUAUGGGGCCUGCCUGAUGGGCUGCUCUCAGGUGGGAUUUGGGGGGUGUGAGAGGGGUCAGUGCCCAAAUGACCACGGGGUCCGUGGCCUGUAUGCCCAGUCAGGUGACGAUGCCAUUCAGAAACUAGAUCUCAUGGGGUGCCCGGCUGCUGAGUCUCAGGCCAGGUCUGCAGUGAGUGCGCUGCCCCAGGCGUGGAACACUCUGGUGCCAUCGGGACCCAAGGCUGAGUGCACCCAGGAGCUGUGGGUCUGAAACAGCGGUCAGAGGUCACCGACAUGUGGAGGAGGCCCCUGGAGUGUGGGAGACAGAACCCCCAGGUGUCCAGCUAGGCAGGAGGCUUUGCAGGACUGAGCAGGUGGGGAGGAAGGGCAGGGAGCAUGGCUGCCGGAGGAGAGAGGGCACUGGGGGUGGCUUGGCCUGACGAGGCUGCUUGAAGGAGACACUCUUGGAAACUGACAGGGCUGCAGGCACUUCUGGGAGCAGGAGGAGGGUGGCCUGUCCCGGGCAGACCAGCCUCUCUGGGCUGUGUGGCCCCAGCUCCCUGAGCCCAGAGGGAGGUGAGGGUGAGAAGGCCUGGACCAGGCAGGACACAGCCCCCAGGGCCCCUGCUGGGAAGAGGUCAGAACCUCCCAAGGACCCAGAAGGCCAGGUAACUGAGAACGGGGCUGCUCUCUGCAUCUCCAGGGAGGACAAAGGCGGCCAUGGCAGCAAGGGACAGGGCAGAGGGGAAAGCGGGCAGGUGGAUGUUGGCAGCCACAGAUUCCCAUCCAGUAUCCUGGAGGAGGAAACCCAGGGCUGUGUCCUAGGAGGCCCAGGAAGCCUGGUCAGCCUGGAGGCUGAGGGCGGGCCUGGGAGAUCUGGGAAGGACAUCAGUGUCUCCACCAAGAGCAGCAGGGUCUGAGGCCAUGGCAGCCGCAGGCCCCAUGACUGGGGCUGCAGCCUCCAGAGCCACCACAGCAGCCCGUUGGUCUGGGGAGUCGAAGGUGGAGGCUGUCAGAGGGGCAGUGCAGGGGGCUGCUGGGGUGAAGCCCCCUGUAGCAGCAGCACCCAUCCUGCUGUGGCUCUGCCCUCCUGGACCCCCUGUCCUCCUGGACCCUCUGCCCUCCAGGGCCCUCUGCCCUCCUGGACCCCCUGUCCUCCUGGACCCUCUGCCCUCCGGGGCCCUCUGCCCUCCUAGACCCCCUGCCCUCCUGGGCCCUCCUGUACCCCCUGCCCUCCUAGGCCCUCUGCCCUCCUGGACCCCCUGCCCUCCAGGACCCUCUGCCCUCCUGGACCCUUUGCCGUCCUGGGUCCUCUGCCUUCCUGGACCCCCUGUCUGCGGCCCCUGCUCCUCUCCUCCUUCCCCGACACAUGACUGGAUCCCCCGAUCUGCAGCCGGGGUCUGGGCACUGGGGGUCCUGUGGGCCUCUCGGUGUCUGGGGACAAUCACAGGUUCCCGUGCCCACACCAGCCUCUGCUUCCAGAACACACUAGAGGGUCCCUGCAUCCUGAUGAGUCCACUGUCCCCGCGAUGGUUUUCAGGGAUGGAGAAGGCUCCCUGUCCUCCGCUGGAACCCUGCAGCCGGGCUGACGAGACCCCAGCGAGACCUGCAGAACAUUACAGCAGAAUGAAGGAGAGCCAGAGGAAGAGGCAGAUGUGCUGGCCUGUAAACAGUCUGAUUUCCAAUGUAAACCAGAUUCAGGCCCACGACAUCAGGUAAACAUCUGCAUCAGAGCCCCCGGCCCCCCACCGCCCGGGAGGCCCCGGGGUCCACACGGCCGACUCUGGGACCUGUCACAGUGACCGCCGAGACAUUUCGUAAUUAGGCAAAAUUGAUCCUUGCAUUCCUUCCCUAAAUCCCAAAUCUCUGCAAUUUUACUUCUUCUCAAAAAUGAAAACAUUUGGCAAUUAGCUGAUCCAAGUGAAAAAGGUAGAGAAUGUGCUCUCAACUGGAAAAUGCCAAUUAAGGAAGCAGCUCUGACUUCCCACCCGCCCUGGCUAAGCUGGGAGCUUAUCUUCCCCGAGAAGAAUCUGCUGGGAUAAGGGGGCUUGGGAAACACCGAGGGCAGGGCUGCCUCCUCACCUCCUCAGCUUCCUCUGAGAGCAGAUUAGCCAUGGCCUUGUGCCAGCAGGGCCUGGGUGCCACACAGGGUGGCAGGGGUGGCAGAGCUGGGCCCCUCUCUGGCACUGGGAUUUGGGGUGGCGGGACCCAGUGGGGCACCCGCUUGUGGGCGGCACUGAGGGCGGUGACGUAGGCGAGUGCCGGUGUCUGUCCCUCCAUCUGGCCGGGCUCCCCACCCUGCUCCUGCAGCCCUGGACCUCAGGGCCCAUUUGCGGUGCAAGGCGGCUCUUGGCCAUUUUGCCCGCAGGGCACUACCUUGGAUCUUGUGAGCUUGUGUCCCUUGCCCUCUCUUGUCCAGGUCAGCAUCUCCCACUGUGGGAAUCCUAUGUGGCCCCAUCGUCUGGACAGUGUGAGUCGGGUCACUGUGGCUGUUUUGUGAUGUGUGUGUGGGCUCAUCCCUCAGUGCUCAGAAGCUGCAGACACUGUGGAACCGCUUUUCAGGCUCCGUGGCCGUCACCCCUGCUCUAGAGACUUGAUUGCAGGGACCAUGCCCGGCCGGCCUAACUGCACCCCUCACUCCAGGUGGGUGGGGGGACCCAGGCCUGCUGGCCCCUAUGGUGGUGCAGCCCAGAAGGUGUGAAUCAGUUUACACUGUUCAGUGUCUGAAUAAAAGUCAUAGGACAAAGAGGACUUGGUUGCACAAACUACUGACAUGAAAUUCACAUUUUGCCCUGAAGGAAACGCGAGAUGAAUUGAACUCAUGUUCAGUUUUUAUUUCUCAUUUCUCCCGCCUCAGUCUCUUCUCACGUGCACGACCUCACAGGGCUGUCACAAGGCCUGCUGGGCACACGCAGCUCAUAGAGAAGUGAUGGCUUCCUCCUUGCCCCCUCACCUCCCUCCUUCCCCUCUCCCCCUCACUUCGGAGCACGCAGGCUGAUUGUGGAGACAUCUCCCAGCCAGGAUGUGUCAACAGGGAAUGUGCUGGGGACAGCGGGAGUUCACAGCCACCCCCGCAGGCGCCUUCCUGGAGCACGUCCACAGGCCAUGUGCAGCUGCAUCCCCCACGACGGCAGGGACAAGUUCCUUCCAUAGGGCCCGGUUGGCCCCCAGAGCUGCAGCAUUUAUGAUCCGGUCCUUUGCAGAACGCAAGGGACAGACACGUGAACCCUGACCUAGGUUCUUGUGCAGAAAUGUUCUCUGGUCGGAAUAGAAAGAAAUGAGUCUCAGGACUGGAUCUCUGCGAAGCAGCCAUCGGCCUUUCAAGCAGAAACCAUGGAGCCGUCGGAGGCUGAGUCUUCCAAGGCGCUGGGAGACUUGCGUUUGCCUCUUUUCUAAAUGCGAUGACCGUUGCAGUGCAUGGAAUCAGAGACAUGUAUCUAUGCGUAGAAAUGAGUCUGUAAACACGAUCAAGGUGUGAUUUCUGUAUGACAAUGCAGUUGGAUCAGAAAUUGGAGAGUGCUGGCCGGGCGCGGCGGCUCAAGCCCGUAAUCCCAGCACUUUGGGAGGCCGAGGCGGAUGGAUCACUUGAGGUCAGCAGUUCGAGACCAGCCUGGGCAACAUGGUGAAACCCCAUCUCUACUGAAAACACAGAAAUUAGCCGGGUGUGGUGGCGUGUGCCUGUAGUCCCAGCUACUCGGGAGGCUGAUGUGGGAGGAUCACUUGAGCCCAGGAGGCAGAGGCUGCAGUGAGUAGAGAUAGCACCACUGAACUCCAGCCUGGGCAACAGACCGAGACUCCAUCUCAAAAAAAUAAAUAAAUAAAUA